RNAcentral lists this ribosomal RNA (389 nucleotides) under Syndiniales sp. RNAcentral's name for it is "partial small subunit ribosomal RNA". It matches the Rfam family "Eukaryotic small subunit ribosomal RNA", at positions 582 to 975 of the family's 1831-position model. The record is from RNAcentral. Lineage: Eukaryota; Dinophyceae; Syndiniales.
AUUCCAGCUCCAAUAGCGUAUGUUAAAGUUGUUGCGGCUAAAAAGCUCGUAGUUGGAUUUCUAGAUGAGAGGAGUGGUCCACUCUAUGAGUGUGUAUCUACUUCCGCUCGUCUAUCCGCUCUGCAAACGUGUCUGCGCUUGACUGCGUGGCGCGGAGGUAGGGCCUUUUACUUUGAGGAAAUUAGAGUGUUCACGGCAGGCAAUCGCCUUGAAUAUAUUAGCAUGGAAUAAUAACAUAGGAUCUUGGUUCUAUUUUGUUGGUUUCUAGGGCUAAGAUAAUGAUUAAUAGGGACAAUUGGGGGCAUUCGUAUCGCGGUGUCAGAGGUGGAAUUCUUGGAUUACUGCGCGACGAACUACUGCGAAAGCAUUUGCCAAGGAUGUUUUCAUUA